This 5739-nucleotide long non-coding RNA is filed under the name Salmo salar (Atlantic salmon). RNAcentral's name for it is "lncRNA (ENSSSAG00000117708.1)". Lineage: Eukaryota; Metazoa; Chordata; Actinopteri; Salmoniformes; Salmonidae. The record is from RNAcentral.
CAACCCCCCAGGCCCCCUCCUCAGCCCCCUCAGGCUCCUCGCUGCCCGCCUACUUUAUCAAGGGCUCCAUCAUCCAGCUGGCGGACGGGGAGCUGAAGCAUGUGGAGGACCUGAAGACGGACGACUUCAUCCAGAGCGCUGAGAUAAGCAGCGAGCUGAAGAUAGACUCGUCCACCGUAGAGCGCAUCGACGACAGCCACACACCCAACUUUGCCAUCGUACAGUUCUCCGUGGGUGAGCACCGCGCUCAGGUGAGUGUGGAGGUGCAGGUAGAGUAUCCCUUCUUCGUAUUCGGCCAGGGCUGGUCGUCGUGCUGCCCGGACCGGACCACUCAGCUGUUAGAACUACCCUGCACAAAGCUCUCAGUGGGGGACGUCUGCAUCUCCCUCACCCUGAAGAACCUGAGGAAUGGCUCACUGAAGAAGACCCAGCAGACCCAGAACCAGGCCAUGGAAAUCACUACUAGCUGCAACAUGGGCUCCAUCCACGGGCCCCUCAAACCCUCCAGGUCUUCCCGGGGUGGAAGGGGGUCAGCCAGGCACGGGGAGCAGGAGAACGGGGUGGGCCAUAGAGGCUCCAGGGGAAGUGGGGGAAUAGUGGUUGAAGGUGUUCAGUUUGCCUCAGAGAAUGGGGAACUGAGGUUCGGCGUCAGGGGGGAGGCCAACCUGAAAGGAGGCCAGCCUGGAGAUUCAGAAUCCAGCAGGGGUGCCGCCAAGCCGGCGAGCCGCAAGAGGAGGUGCCCCAGUUGACUCUACCCAAACCUUCCUUUAUCACUCAGGAGGUAAAAAUCAGCAUCGAAGGCAGGUCAAAUAUAGGCAAGUAGUGAAGGCAGGAGAUUAAAACAAGACUGUUAAUUCAAAUAGGGAUUGGAGGAGAGAUGGAAAAAAGAAAGGAUGCCCUCAUAAAUGUUUUAUUUUAACUACUUUGUUUUAGAUUUGAUUCUUGUUUCUAUUUUUUAUCCGGAUUACUGUAGGCUAAAUUUGACCCAUGUUAUCAUCUUGCAUUAAGUCCAUGUUAAAAUAACAUUGUAGUAGAUGCGUUCGGCAUUACGUAAACAAGCAAAUGGGGCAAUUGCUUUGGGUUUUUUCAACAAAUCUCUGGGCAAGGGGUUUUGUGAAGUAUAGUACAUGUUUUAUUGGUGGGUUUGUGGCAUGCAAGAGCGCUGCUUGAUACCUCUCUGGUCAUUUGAUGGCUGCAGGUGGACAACUGAAUGAAAUAUGUAGUUAGCUUUCCUAUAGGGCCUAGGACAUGACUAAGCUGCCAUAAUGUAGACCGGUGAGUGAGAUCACUUCCUGGUAGAGGGCACUACUGACGAGAGUGUUCAGGAUGUCUGGACGGAAUCACUCUCCACGCCACCCGUUGCCAUGGUGGCAGACUGAGUUGAUAUGAUGUCAACUCUCCCGAGCGACUCAAGACGUCUUUAGAUAAAACACAGUAAAAAAGGACUUUAACAAAUUGAAACCCUCAUGAAUAGAAGAUGAUGUAUAAUAACACCUUUAUGUGUCUCUGACAGAAGGUUAGAACUACACAUCUAAUCCUAAACAAGGGGUCACCAGAUGCCUCGACACUCAUCCACCUAGACCACUCAGCUAGGUGAUGUCACCCAGCAGGGCCAGAGCAGCCAGGCGAGGUCACCAGGCCGCGCCACUGGGCCACCAUAAAGAGAGAACUCUUCCUUCCUUUGUUAUGUUUGGGUGACAGUGGAGUCAUUCUGUUAUUAUUCUUGAAACGUUCUGAGUUGAUAAUGAUAUAUUUAAAUGAGUGUCUAAAACUUUGAGGUCAGGGGUCACAUACUGUAUGUAUAGUUUGAUCCAGGGCGGUUAAGUAAAGUGUUUAUGUUAUUCCUUUAUACCCUACAUACAUUUACAAUCACACUGAGUUGAUGAACUAUGGGAUUAUUCAAAGGAAGAUGAUUUUUACUUGGUGCAACCUUUUCCUUUUCAUUCUAAUGGCAGAAAGAAAGAGCUUAUGUCUCAAAUGGUCCCCUAUUCCCUAUAUAGUGCACUGCUUUUACUAAGGCUCUAUCCUUAUGGGCCCUAGUCAAAAGUAGUGCACAAUAUAGGGAAUAGGGGCCAUUUGGAACGCAGUCAGAGAGUCACUGUUGAGUCUUUAGAGAGAGACAGCAUGUUGUCUUGAAGCACUUGCAUUUGCACACCUGUCACACUCACCAACUGUUGAUAACUCAACUAUUAUUAUUGUUAUUAUUAUUGUUAUUGUUAUUAUUGGUCUCUCUUCAUUAACACAGUACUGUAUGUUUUUGUUAUUUUACCUUGAGGAAGAAGUAGAACUCUGUGACAGCAGCACUUUAGAACAGUGAAGGGGUCAUCAUGAUUUCAUAGGGUAAUGAUGAUGUCAUGGGGUCACACAGUCACUUGACCUUUGACAGGGAUGAAUGUGACAGGUGAUGGAGCGAGUGCCAGUUAGGAGAGGGAAAGAAAGAGAGAAAGAAAACAGAGGAAUAUAGAGGAUAAUAUAAUAGCAGAAGAGUGUUUUUUUUUGUUAAUGCACUUUCCUCCAAUCAGAACAUGCUCUUCAAAAUAUGGAUGUGGUCAAAAAAUGACACAUAUCUGCCUUUUCAAGGAAAUCAAAAUGUCAAUGAAGUCCAAAAGGAUGGGAAAGGAUGGGAAUAGGCAGGAACUAUGUACAGGUAUGUUGUGGACGAGACUGAGAGAGAGUUAUAGACGCUCUGGACACAGCAUUUUUGAGGUGUGUCUUAUACAUAAUGUAUGUACGGGAAGUGUGCAUGAAUGUAGGUAUGUGUAAGUACACACACACCAGAGGAGGCUGGUGGGGGUAGUUAUAGGAGGACAUGUUCAUUGUAAUGGCUGGAAUGGAAUAGAUGGAACAGAGUCAAACACACUUUUUCCAGGUGUUUGAUGUGUUUGGUACCAUUGCAUUGAUUCCAUUCCAGCCAUUACAAUAAGCCCGUCCUCCUAUAGCUCCUCCCACCAGCCUCCUCUGACACACACACACACACACAAACACACAUGGAAUACAGUACCUACCCAGACAGGCCUCUCCUGAAGGUGAGGGAGGACUGUAUGUAUUUCAUACUCGUUGAUAAACGUUUAAUAUGUAUCCAAAUACUUUUGUUGCAUAGAUGUUUCCCCUUGAUGAUAUAGAGAAGCCAAUAUAUUUGAGUAGGAAACUAAGACGAUAGUGAUUCUCAGUGGUCUGUGCAGCGUGUGUUUGUUUGUGUGUGUGCGUGUGUGUGUGUGUGUUUGUAUAUGUGUAUAGAAAUAUCAUAUAAGUUAAUUUGAUAUAUCCAAUGUUAAAUGUCCAGGGUUCCUGUUUUUGGAGUUCUACUUAAGAGAAUCUUGCAAUUUGCACAUCUGGAGAGGUAGUCAGUUGGGUGACAUGACUUUUUGGCUGUGUCCAAAAUGUCGCCCUUUUCCCUAUAUAGUGCACUGACCAAAAGUAGUGCACUAUAUAGGGAAUAGAAUGCCAUUUCAGAUACAACUAUGUUUUCAGCCAGGUUGCACACACAAACACACACACUCACACAAACACACAGUGAGCUGAAACCAUAGAGAUAGGUAGAGGACUCAUCUUUGUAUCUGUGCCAUUAUAGUGUUUGUGGCAGCCUCAAUGGCGCUGUCCAUGCUAUCUCCAUUUUAAAGUAGUCAAUUUUCAUCUUCACUAUUGGCUGGUCCCUCCUGAUGACCCGGUUGGACAUGACUCCAACAGGGUCACCAGGAGGGAUCAUCCAAUGAAGUUGGACGUCCCACCCAGUUGACUACAUUAAAAUGUUGGAAUCCCUCAAUGGUGCUACCCAUGCUAAUACGACCUUUUGGCCACUAGAGGCCUCUAUCAUUCUCUAUGGCUGAAACCCCAUUUUACUGAAAUGUAGCAGUUACUUAACAAGUGCGCUCCCUGCUGAUUGGCUCCGACAAUCUUGACUCUGCUCCUCAUUGGACAACCACACUGUCAAUCACAUCUGUGGCAUGUCCAUGUCCCGCCCACUUGUUGGGGGUUUGGCUGAGAGACAAUGUGGAGGUGUGUUGGUCGGUCUUGGAGUCGGGGGCGGGGCAACCAGCAGGUACACCUGUUGAGCUCUCUGAUUGGACUAGAUUUUCAGGUGUGUUUAGGUGGUAUAAGAUGUGGCAGAGUAGGAGAAGUUUGUAGAAGUUGCUUCUAGCCACUGAUGUAGGUUCAGAUGUUUAGUUCAUCCCCCUAAAGGUUAGUGUUAGGUGUGGGUGUAGGGGAAUCUGAUCCUAGAUCUGUGGGUAAGAGGAACUCCUACCUGGAGGGCGUGUGCGGGUGAUUGCCGUGGUGAUGGACAGAUGGUUGUGUGACUUGGACGGAUGGAUGGAUGGAUGGAUGGAUGGUAAAGUCAGAUGGAUGGUGGUGGUGGUGGCGGGGAGUGAGUAGACAGCCUGUAUAAGAUUUGAAAAUGCUUUAUUGUUUUUAAUAAAACAGGUUUCUCAGAUCAACACCACAGCAGUGCAUCUCCAUUUUUUAUUUUAUAACAUUCUUUGACUAUGUCUUCUAGAGCUAAUUUCUCUCUGUGUGUGUGUGUGUGUGUGUGUGUGUGUGUGUGUGUGUGUGUGUGUGUGUGUGUGUGUGUGUGUGUGUGUGUGUGUGUGUGCGUGUGUGCGUGUGUGUUUCUAAGAAUGUGUGAGUCUUUUGUAAGGACAGGAUGGAUAUAACGUUUUUUGCUUCUAGAGCUUCACCUUGGUAAAAAUAGCGUAUAUUUAAACCAUUACAUAUAUGGUUUUGCAUUCAUACACAUUGAACCAAAAUGAGACCCUAGUUAAGUCUUGUUCUAACUGACUAACCCCUACCUAAAUGGGAAAAUACAGUAAAAUAACGACACACACCUACACCCCUCACCAAUCAAACCCUUUCAGGUAAAGUUUUCUAGUGCAAAUGCAAAGCAUCAUGGCAGUGGUGUGGCGGCUGCUUUCCAAUAGUUAGACAACAAGCAUCUAGCCAGCAUGUGUGUAACUAUGGAUUUGAGGGGUGAAGCUGUGUCUCUAGAGAUGGGGGGUGAAGCUGUGUCUCUAGAGAUGGGGGGUGAAGCUGUGUCUCUAGAGAUGGGGGGUGAAGCUGUGUCUCUAGAGAUGGGGGUGAAGCUGUGUCUCUAGAGAUGGGGGGUGAAGCUGUGUCUCUAGAGAUGGGGGGUGAAGCUGUGUCUCUAGAGAUGGGGGGUGAAGCUGUGUCUCUAGAGAUGGGGGGUGAAGCUGUGUCUCUAGAGAUGGGGGGUGAAGCUGUGUCUCCAGAGAUGGGGGGUGAAGCUGUGUUUCUAGAGAUGGGAGGUGAAGCUGUGUCUAGAGAGAUGGGCGGUGAAGCUGUGUCUCUAGAGAUGGGGGGUGAAGCUGUGUCUCUAGAGAUGGGGGGUGAAGCUGUGUCUCUAGAGAUGGGGGGUGAAGCUGUGUCUCUAGAGAUGGGGGGUGAAGCUGUGUCUCUAGAGAUGGGGGGUGAAGCUGUGUCUCUAGAGAUGGGAGGUGAAGCUGUGUCUCUAGAGAUGGGGGGUGAAGCUGUGUCUCUAGAGAUGGGGGGUGAAGCUGUGUCUCUAGAGAUGGGGGGUGAAGCUGUGUCUCUAGAGAUGGGGGGUGAAGCUGUGUCUCGAGAUGGGGGGUGAAGCUGUGUCUCUAGAGAUGGGGGGUGAAGCUGUGUCUCUAGAGAUGGGGGGUGAAGCUGUGUCUAGAGAGAUGGGGGUGAAGCUGUGUCUCUAGAGAUGGGGGGUGAAGCUGUGUCUCUAGAGAUGGGGGGUGAAGCUGUGUCUCUAGAGAUGGG